GUGUCAGCCGCCGCGGUAAUACAGAGGGUGCGAGCGUUGUCCGGAAUCACUGGGCGUAAAGGGCGCGUAGGCGGCUUGAUAAGGUUGCGGUGAAAGCCCGGGGCUCAACCCCGGGUCGGCCGUGGCAACUGUCGAGCUGGAGCACUGUAGAGGCAGGUGGAAUUCCGGGUGUAGCGGUGGAAUGCGUAGAGAUCCGGAAGAACACCGGUGGCGAAGGCGGCCUGCUGGGCAGUGGCUGACGCUGAGGCGCGACAGCGUGGGGAGCAAACAGGAUUAGAUACCCUGGUAGUCCACGCCGUAAACGAUGGGCACUAGGUGCUUGGGGGAGCGACCCUCCGAGUGCCGGCGCUAACGCAUUAAGUGCCCCGCCUGGGGAGUACGGCCGCAAGGCUGAA
This 395-nucleotide ribosomal RNA is filed under the name uncultured bacterium. RNAcentral's name for it is "bacterial SSU rRNA". It matches the Rfam family "Bacterial small subunit ribosomal RNA", at positions 505 to 898 of the family's 1533-position model. The record is from RNAcentral.